UGGGGAAUAUUGCACAAUGGGCGAAAGCCUGAUGCAGCAACGCCGCGUGAGUGAUGAAGGUCUUCGGAUUGUAAAGCUCUGUCUUUUGGGACGAUAAUGACGGUACCAAAGGAGGAAGCCACGGCUAACUACGUGCCAGCAGCCGCGGUAAUACGUAGGUGGCGAGCGUUGUCCGGAUUUACUGGGCGUAAAGGGUGCGUAGGCGGAUGUUUAAGUGAGAUGUGAAAUACCCGGGCUUAACUUGGGUGCUGCAUUUUCAAACUGGAUAUCUAGAGUGCAGGAGAGGAGAAUGGAAUUCCUAGUGUAGCGGUGAAAUGCGUAGAGAUUAGGAAGAACACCAGUGGCGAAGGCGAUUCUCUGGACUGUAACUGACGCUGAGGCACGAAAGCGUGGGUAGCAAACAGGAUUAGAUACCCUGGUAGUCCACGCCGUAAACGAUGAGUACUAGGUGUAGGGGGGUAUCGACCCCUUCUGUGCCGCAGUAAACACAUUAAGUACUCCGCCUGGGAAGUACGAUCGCAAGAUUAAAACUCUAAAGUGAAUUGAC
This 547-nucleotide ribosomal RNA is filed under the name uncultured bacterium. RNAcentral's name for it is "partial 16S ribosomal RNA". It matches the Rfam family "Bacterial small subunit ribosomal RNA", at positions 355 to 914 of the family's 1533-position model. The record is from RNAcentral.